ACAGUGAAAACAAGUGGGAUGUCUUGCUAGGGAAAAGCAUUAAAAAAAUUAACUGCAUGUGUAUACAUUGAGAACUGUUGACUUUUUGAGGAUGCUCUGACAAAUGUGAAAGAUACUCAUUUAAUUCAUUUUUAAUUCUGAAUUCAAGUGCAAUUUUUGCUAGGCUCAUUUCUUCAUGUAAUGUAAAAAUACACAGCAGCUCGUCAUGCCCUUUUGCCUCAUUACUUAUGUAUCUUUUUCCCUCCGGUAAAUGUCAGACAGUAAAAUUGAAAAUAUAGCUCGUUUGGUGUUUGAAACAGAGCCAGACAUGAAGCUGUGUGUCUGAUAGGAGGCACUGCUGUUCUUCAGUUUAGUCUGUCCCUUUCUACAUGUUUCAACAGGUCUGACUUCACACUCAGAUAAUAUUGGCCGUCCUUGUCCGACGGUGGUCAUGAAAUCCCUUGACACAAGUGAGAUUAAGGAAUAUUUGACCUGCUUGCAGAGGAGCUGACGGUAUUUCUGUUGACAUACUCAUCUUUUAUGGGAGAGCUUCAAUUCCCCAAUCAAUGACUGUUCUUGUCUUAUGCCUUUCAUAACAAGAAAGGUUAGCAGAAAAAAAAGAGACCUAUGAAAGCCAGUCAUUUUCACAGAAUCGCUCAGAUGCGGGGCCAGGGGGAGUGGUAUAGCAAAGGCAGAUUCAAAAGGAGGACUAGUUUUAAUUGUCUGCAUCUUAGUAAAGCUUGAAUUACAACAUCAGUAUGAUGAUAUGUAACUUGUUUUCAAUUUUUAAAUGCGUCUGUCUUUUGAAAUAUAUUUCUGAUUUGAUUUUUAGGACAUAUAUGAAAGGUGAUUAUUUAGUCACAGACAUCGCUAGAUAUUAGUGGUUUGUUAGUCUACAGAUGUCCUUAGUAUCAUUCUACACAAAAAUGAGAUCAGUAAACAAUAGUAAUUCUUUGGUUUAGUAUUUGCAAGGCAAAGGAGACACCUAUACCUAUUGCCUUUUCUCAAAUGCAACAAAGAAUCAAAUAAUUUAUUUGAGUUAUCUCUAAUCUCUUCCUUUCUGUCAUACCUCUAAUUAUAUCUCCAGGUCUUUACUUCCUUUGAUUUAGUAAUUACUAAGGUAGCACUGAGAGAAAAUACAGGUUCAGGACUUGAUGCUUUUGGUUUUACUGUUAGGGGUUUGGGGAUUUGAACAUCUGGCUCCUUUCAUUGGGGCUCAGUUCUUCUCUCAGAAUAGGAAUAAUUGUUUGCCACCCAGGCAGCAACAACUUGCACCUUAUAGAGCUAAGGGGUGAAUUUAGCCAAUCCAGUUCUUAUAACAAUCAAAUCAGCUAAACUCUGUUCAGCAGAUGAAACCGCUGAUCAGUUCUUCUGUACUUUUCUACUAUGAUAAUUUUUGUUCUGCAAGGUGUGCUUUCUUCCUGAAUGAGAUAUUCAACCCAGACGCAACUUCUUAUGAGAAUCCUUCACAGACAAUACAAUUAAGAAGUAUUUAUUUUGUGCUUAACCCCUUGCUAUACUCUGUGAAGGUAAUAAAAUAUGACAUGAUUCUUGCUCCAGAAGAACUUUUAAUCCCUUUAAGAACUCUAACCUAACAAAGUAACCACAAAUAAUUCUAGACUGUGUAAGUACAGUGGUUUAUUGUAUAUGCUUGUUGAUGGGGAUUGAGAACUGCCAGAGUUCAAGGAAUGAGCAAAUAAUGGUCCAUGGGGCUAAAGUCAAGGGUGAACUGACCACAGCAGAGAAUGAGUACUGGGAAGAAGGAUAAAUUAAAUUUUUAUAGUUAGGGUAGGAAUUGACCAUAGAGGUCUCUGAACCCUCACCUACAAGGCUGAGAUUUAACACAGCAAGUCCUCUAGGCCAGUGAAGGUUUUUGAGUAGGAGAGUGUAAUACUAAGAAUGGGAUACAGUGGCUAUGAAUUUAGAAUAUGUUUUUCCAAAUGAGGAAAACUUUACCUAAUGUUACUUUUUAAAUCAAAUAAGUCAGACUUGACCACUGUCUACCAGAGGUGGCAAGAAAUACUCUCUCAGCCAUUUGGGGUAGAGAGAAACCUCUCCACAAUUCCAAUAAAAAUGGCAAGAGGGGGAUGGAGGUUCUGGUUUUUAGUUCAUAAUGGCUGUUCCUGAUACGUUCUUCUCAGUGUGGUCCUUUCAGAGUAGACUGCUAUACUCACCUUCCAACUCUGACCCUCCACCACCUUGCUGGGACAAAUUACAUCUUCCUCUCUAUUGAGCCAGCUCUGCUUUCUUCACCCUCAACAUUAAUCCCUCUCAACUGGCUUAUUCUCACAAAAGCCUGGAUAUGGUGGACUGUGCUUGGGAUUUUUUGAAUUUCUGCUUUUGGCUCCUAUUUCACAAGCCUUAUGCUAACCUAACAGCUCAGACUCAAAACAAAAGACUUUUGAGUUGAAUAUAAAAUCUACUUCUCAUUAUUUUCUAUCUCCAGUAUAAAAGAGGGUAAAGUAAAAUUAACAUCUCAAUAGUUAUUCUUCCCAGGUGUUUAAGAAAUGGAGGAGGGGCAUUCUGGAACUAGGAAGCUAGCAUUAAGGCUGUGUAGUAAUCCACAGGUGAUUGCUGAAGGCCCAGCCCAGGGCACAAAAGUGACUUUUGGUGAAAUAAAUCAAUGAGCUACACUAAUUUGGGAGAGAGGACCUACUCCAAGGUUGUCAAAGGUGUGGCUAAGACAAAUUUUUAAAUAUUCAACAUUUGACAAUAAGGUAAUACUCUUAUUAGGGGAUCUGGUACUUAAAAAAAAAUUGACAUCCAAUUUCCUUUUUAUUUCACUUCCCUCUUUUCCCCACAGCACUUCCUGCUGUGAGAUUGUCAAACAAACAGGCAAGACCUAGUGCACUGCUUGUAGCCUGGAGCAGCAGAGAGCAGUUUCUCACAAUCUUCGCAGCUUCCCUAUGGAAGUUGCAUCGGUUAGUUUCUUUUUCCUCAGACAAGCCUAUUUAGCAUAGAAAAGAGUGGCACUAGUGUUGUAAUAGUUAAGAGAAGACAACUGGAUAGCAGGGAUGAUAGCAUUGAGUUUGGGAGAUGCACUGAACUGUAUAUAAUGGGAAAGAUUAUAAGGAAAACUACCACCAGUUGAGUCUGUAAGUGGGGGUGGGAGAGAUCAGGAGGUCUAUGCUGACUAUGUGAUCACAGAGAAUAAUGAUAGCUUGGGAUAGAAAUGAUUCCUUGAGGAGGAUGAAGAGAAUCUGAAAAGAAGGAAUGAUUUUUUUUCUAGUUAUCAUAAUGUCUUGAAUAGAAUUCUCAAUAUGCUUUUUUAUGCCUCCAGACCCAUAAAUGAGAACUAAUGAAAAACUGCAUCCUGACUGAUAUAGGAACUUAUCAUUUACUUUGUGAUUAUGCUAAUACACCUAAAACUCAUACUAUUUACAUUAAUGAAUCUUUACAUAUAUGUAUACACACACAUAUAUAUGUAUGUAUUUAUGUUUAUAUAUGUGUGUUUGAAAAAAAAAUAUGUAUAUAUUAUACUUAUCAUUGUCCUCCCUGCUGAUAAUAGGACUUGGCAGAAAUAAAACAGAAACCAGGAAAGUGCUGCCAUGAUUGUCUUGAGGCAGUCAUGUCUGGGAGUUCAUCAUAAGGCUUUCCACAAACAUUCUCAGGCAUCUAUUUCUGGCCACACGUAGCACUGUACUUGUCAUCCCUGUUUGAAGUUACCAGUGGGCUUACUUUGGCCAAUGAAAUGUAACCAGAGGUACCAGAAAUGGUCUGUCUACAUUCUUCUCCAAAAAAAGUGUCAUUUAAUUGACCCUCUGAGGUAGGCAUGCUCAAUUUUCCUUUCCCAUGUGAUGAAAGUUUGUGUUGAAAUAAAGCCUGCAUCAAACUGGAUCUAUAAUGAGCAGAGACCUAUUGGCACACACUGAAGGACUAUAACAAUGAGACAAAUCUUUUGUGUCCUGCCACUCUAGGAUGUGGCAGCUGCUACUAUAACAAAGUCUAGUCCAUCUUGACUUUUACAAGUGGUCAAAAAAUUGACUUUCACAUUUAGAGUUCCCAAAAUCUUUUUUUUUUUUUUGAAGAGCUAGGAAUUUGAAAUUGCCACAAAACCAAAAAAGUAACAAAGACCAGAGCAGGUUCAGAAUGCCUGGAGCAGUUCCAGGACAACAUCCUUCGGAAACUGAGACGUCCCAGGAAAACAAUGGAAGACAGAAAAUUUCCCCAAAAAAUUAAAAAGAGAACGACCAUAUGAUCCAAUAAUUCCACUCCUGGGUAUUUAUUCAAAGAAAACUAAAACACUAAUUUGAAAAGAUAUAUGCUGGGAGUUCCCACUGUGGCCCCACAGUAACGAACCCAACCAGUAUUCAUGAGGACAUGGGUUUGAUCCCUGGCCUCGCUCAGUGGGUUAGAGAGCUGGUGUUGCCAUGAGCUGUGGUGUAGGUUGCAGAUGCAGCUUGGAUCCUGCAUUGCUGUGACUCUGGUGCAGGCCAGCAGGUACAGCUCUGAUUUGACCCAUAACCUUGGAACUUCCAUAUGCCACAGGUGCAGCCCUAAAAAAAAAAA
Molecule: long non-coding RNA, 4488 nt
Filed under: Sus scrofa (pig)
Lineage: Eukaryota; Metazoa; Chordata; Mammalia; Artiodactyla; Suidae
Description: lncRNA (ENSSSCG00065005508.1)
Source: RNAcentral